Molecule: non-coding RNA, 145 nt
Filed under: uncultured Phascolarctobacterium sp.
Lineage: Bacteria; Bacillati; Bacillota; Negativicutes; Acidaminococcales; Acidaminococcaceae
Source: RNAcentral
CGGGUGCUGACGCUUAAUAGAGAAACAGGUUCAAAGCCUGUGCUGUCCCGCAGCUGUAAUGCCGAGCCGCGUUCUAUAGCCACUGGGAAACUGGGAAGGAGGAACGCAGCCAUGACGCAGAGCCAGAAGAACUGCCCGAUAUGUU